CAGACAACUGGAAUGAACUGAAAAGUUAAAAGAAUGCUGAAUUAAGGUGGAAAACAAAAUCAGAAGGUAACAAAGUUCAAGAUCCCAUCCUUAAGAAAGUGCAGACCUGGAACUCAACAUCCAUCUGCCACCCAGAGCAAUACAUGAUGUUUACACUACAGAUUAAUCUUUUCACUGAAGCUUUUCCUUUCGUGAAACUGGAGUCCUAUGAGCCGAGCUGGACAUGGUGAUCCUCUAGCCCUACACCUGUGAUUUCCAAGUGGCGAUCUGAAUAUAUGGAGCUAAACUUUUGCCCAAGAUGACACAGCUGGAAAAUGCUUUGAACACAACC
Molecule: long non-coding RNA, 331 nt
Filed under: Capra hircus (goat)
Lineage: Eukaryota; Metazoa; Chordata; Mammalia; Artiodactyla; Bovidae
Description: lncRNA (ENSCHIG00000001669.1)
Source: RNAcentral